GCCUUUUGACUAAAGGUACUUUAAAUUUUCUAUUAUUUUCUUAUAGCUAAAAUUAAAUUGUUUUAUAUAUUGCCUAAAAAUUGAUUGAUACUUUCAGUUUCUCCUGUAAAUUGUAAGCUUUUUAUGAGUUUAAUAUAGUUAUUUGGCUUUUAUGUUUUAGUGUUGUAGUUCUAAACAAUGUAAUAAGUUUUCAGAUUAUUCAAUGUAUUGCCACUGGAAGAGGGUAUUGCUUCUGGAAGUCUUGCUGUUGGAAUAUUUCCAUUAAUCUUUGGAAGUUUUGUUGGGGAGUUUGGCUUGGUGGCCGGAAUUUGAAUUACUUUUAUUGGAGUUUAAUGGGAAUUUAACUAUUAUUUUAUAUUUUGGCAUUCUUUUUUUUUUUAUUUGGGAUGUUUUAUUAUGUAUUAGUGGUAAUGACAUUGAAUACUAGAUGUAUUUAUUUUUAAAUUAAUUUGUUGGAUUGAAUGGAUGUUAAUUAGGUUGAAGGAUAAAUUUCUUUCCAUCUAGAUAGCUCAUGUUCUAAGGGUGAUUAUACUUUUUUGUGCCUAACGGUUCUUAUAGAUUAGUACAAGAUAAUGUCUUUAUUCCUCACAUGGAUUCACAUGUGUU
Molecule: long non-coding RNA, 606 nt
Filed under: Citrus sinensis (sweet orange)
Lineage: Eukaryota; Viridiplantae; Streptophyta; Magnoliopsida; Sapindales; Rutaceae
Description: long non-coding RNA (CSIN_LNC004173)
Source: RNAcentral